CAAAUAUAUGUCAAAUAUAUCUUAAUUUAAUCCUAGUUAAAAACUUAUUAGACUUCAUUCAAACUUUAAGCCAAAAAUUAAUUAAAUCUUAAAUCCUAAAUAAAGCCUAAUAAAAUCCUAAAUCCUAAACCAAAUUCUAAAUCCUAAACCAAAUCUUAAUCAAAUCCUAACCAAAUCUAAAUCCUAAAUCAAACUCUAAUCAGAUCCUAAAUCCUAAAUAAAAUCCUAACCAAAUCUAAAUCCUAAAUCAAAUCCUAAUCAAAUCCUAAAUUCUAAACCAAAUCCUAACCAAAUCCUAAAUC
RNAcentral lists this long non-coding RNA (302 nucleotides) under Physcomitrium patens. RNAcentral describes it as "long non-coding RNA (PPAT_LNC009345)". Lineage: Eukaryota; Viridiplantae; Streptophyta; Bryopsida; Funariales; Funariaceae. The record is from RNAcentral.